CUAAAUUGGAGGAAAUCCACAUGGAGGUCAGAAGGCUGGGAAGAAGUGAGCCUCCCCUUUCAUCCACCCAUACAGAGCAGCUGGAGACGAUGGAGGACUUUGAGAGAGAGGAGGAACGCCUCAAGGACAAGCAAGCCUUUGAGUCUCUGGCUCUUUACCAAUCGGUUGAUGGCAAAAUUCAACAUGAAGGGGAAGGGGAAAAAGCAGAAACUGCCUCUGGAGACGACGACAAACUUACGAAGCAAUUAAUGCUGCAGUCAUGAAAUGGGACAAAGAAGCUACAGAGGCUACAAUAAAUCAUCAUGCAGCAGAACAUCUCAAGCAUGCACCAGGGAGGAAGGGAGGUGGAGGGCAUACAGGGGUGGAAAAUAACUGAGGACUUUUGC
RNAcentral lists this long non-coding RNA (386 nucleotides) under Sinocyclocheilus grahami. RNAcentral describes it as "lncRNA (ENSSGRG00000029735.1)". The record is from RNAcentral. Lineage: Eukaryota; Metazoa; Chordata; Actinopteri; Cypriniformes; Cyprinidae.